UACGAAGGGGGCUAGCGUUGCUCGGAUUGACUGGGCGUAAAGGGCGCGUAGGCGGUUUGUACAGUCAGACGUGAAAUUCCUGGGCUCAACCUGGGGGCUGCGUUUGAUACGUGCAGACUUGAGUUCGGAAGAGGGUCGUGGAAUUCCCAGUGUAGAGGUGAAAUUCGUAGAUAUUGGGAAGAACACCGGUGGCGAAGGCGGCGACCUGGUCCGAUACUGACGCUGAGGUGCGAAAGCGUGGGGAGCAAACAGG
Molecule: ribosomal RNA, 253 nt
Filed under: uncultured bacterium
Lineage: Bacteria
Description: partial 16S ribosomal RNA
Rfam family: Bacterial small subunit ribosomal RNA
Source: RNAcentral